UACUUUAUGAGUAAAAAAACCCUAGCUCCUCUCCGACGAAAAUCUCUCCAGUGCCGCUCAAUCACUCACUAUCUCGCUCUCGCCUCUCUCUCUGUAAGGCUUUCCAUUGCCGCUGUGAAACCCUCACGCGUUAUCUCCUCUCCUUGCCAUCGUUGGUGCUUUGCGACUUCUCCCUCAGUUUGUUGGUGUCUUCCUCUUCAACAAAUCUGGUCGCGUCUUCUCCCUUGGUCAGUCACACACUAAUACUGUACGCUCUUCUCCUUCACUUCAGCAGAUCUUUUCAUAUGGGUUGAUGUUCUCCUCUAAAGUACUUACCAUUCUUGCAAGCUCUUCUCCAAAUACAAGAUGUUCCUGCUGCAGUUAAUGCUUUACAGUUUUAUUCUAAUGCUCAGCCAAGAAUAAGGUCUAGUUAGAUUGUUAAUUCAAUCAUAGUUUCAUGUGCAUUUGGUUUGGAAAAAAUAUCUAUUCUCGGUAUUUAAUUUUGAAAAUGCUACUUAUUGGUUAGUUUUAUUCCUAAUACUUUACAGGACUUCACAAACCCAAAUCUUCCUUCUAGUAAAUUUUGCAAGGAAGAUCUUUUACUAUUAUGUUCUUGUGUUUCUCUUUAUAUCUUGUUGCAAGUAAAUUUUGCUCUUACCAGUUCUAACAUUUUUUAUACGUUAUAGCUCAUGAUUUUCUCCUCUUAAACCAUUCGAUUCAUCUUCUCCAUUUUUGACACCCUCUAGCUUGGUGGCCACCUAUUCUCUUCAUACAAAUGAAGGGGAAAGCUUUGGAUUGAGAAAGGUGGAAUAACAAAACUUUCCAACUUCGUAGCUAAUCUGUUGUUAGUAAAAUAAUAACUAGUUUGAGAUAUUGGGUGCUCUUGAACACUAGCUUGUUUGAUUUUGAGGUUGAAGAUGCAUAAAGUUACAUUAUGUAGUGAUUUUUAUAAAAGAUGCUUGCCUGCUUGUAUGUGUUGCAUUAAACUACUCAAGUAAAAAUGCAGAGUAUGGCUUUAUUCAUGCUUGGAUUUUUGUUUAAAUGGAUGUAGUAUUUAAAUAUUACACACACAUAUAUAAUGCUUUCUUCUUUGACUGCUUAGGUUUAUACAUAUACUUGUUUGCAUUACGUUGAUGUGAGCCUCUAAUAUGAAUCAUAUGAAGAAUGAGUAAAGCUAGCUAAGGUUGGAAUUAUUUUUCCUUUAAAUCAUAGCAAAGAUGUAGAAAAGAUUUGAUGCUAUUCAUGAUUUAUUAUCGUGUUGUGAUGCUUCAAACUAAACAUAGGAUUAUUUGUAACUUAUAGACAUGUCUAUUUCGCAUUGUCUUUGCAUGAGAAACUCAUCUUUGCUAUAAAUAACACAUAAGAAUUGAUUUAAGUACGUGGCAUGAUCAUUUGGCUUGGAAUUCACAUGAAAGACCUACCUUGUGACAAAUAUGCUUGAUCCAAAGUUUGGGUUUCCUUUGCUUGUUACAUAUACUAAACUCUGUUUUAGUUUUAGGCUCUCAAAACCUAUGUAGCAUGGAUUAAAAAAAGUAAACGUAUCUGUAUCCGAUACGAUAUUUGUAGGAUAUUUCUGCAUACGUAUCUCAUAUUCUCACAUCUGUGAUAUGAUUUUUUUUUCAAUAAUUUUUUAUUAUGUCACUUAAAAACUUGAAAAAACACUUGAUAUUUUAAUUAAUUACUAUAAAUAUUCUUAUAUUACUUUAGAAAUUCUUGUUUAAAAAUCAAAAUACCUAUACUUAUAUCAUAAAAUAUUAAAAUAUAUAUUAUAAAUAUCCUUGUACCCAUAUUCUAAAAUUUUGAAAAUUUGCUGUAUCUCUGUAUCAUGCCGUAUCGUAUCAGAUACUUGUACCCGUAUCUAUGCAACCUAGCUCAAAGCCCAAAAGAAAUCAUAUGCCCCUGUUUUUUUCCCUGUUAAAACAUGCAAGUCUCUAUUUGCUUGACAUUUAGGUUUUAUUUUAGCAAGGCAAGCUGUCUCUAUUGUGAGUUUGCAUUAAGUUUGAAGUAAUGGAACAUUCACAUUUACUUUAUUAUGGUUAGAUGUAAAUCAUUUCCCAUCAAAUAAGGCUUUUGAUUGAUAUAUUGAAUGUUCUAAGUUUCUUUUCUUUUUUUGUUGAGAUGGAAGCUAUUGUCUAAGAGGCACUUAAGAAGCAUAGGCAUUUGACUAUAUCUCUGGCCAUGAUGGAGUUGGAAUGACAUUCUCAACUUUUCUAUUGGAUAAGGAAUCACGUACAUUUGUUUAUGUUGUAAUUUUCAUAAAUAUACAAGUUUGAAAUGCUAAUGUUUAAUUAUCUGUGGUUAUAAGAGGAUGUGAAAACGUGGGGGAGUAAGAUUUACAAUAAUGUAAAAAAUAUAUUGUUAACUUUAAGCUUCUAUUGUGCUAAUAACUUUUUAUCAGUAUUCUCAUGGAAUUGGUCUUUGGGAA
Molecule: long non-coding RNA, 2404 nt
Organism: Prosopis cineraria
Lineage: Eukaryota; Viridiplantae; Streptophyta; Magnoliopsida; Fabales; Fabaceae
Exons: 2
Source: RefSeq, a predicted model, not a curated record